Molecule: unclassified non-coding RNA, 159 nt
Filed under: Gigantopelta aegis
Lineage: Eukaryota; Metazoa; Mollusca; Gastropoda; Neomphalida; Peltospiridae
Description: uncharacterized protein CXorf38 homolog, transcript variant X1
Source: RNAcentral
GGGAAUUCCCGGAUCGAUGUGUUUUCUUUCACUUCCAUCUUCCGUGUUACCACUAAUAACAGACGUCUUGUCUUCUAGUGUGUCAAGCUAUUAUUUUCAUUACUUAAUAACUUAUAUUUCCACUGAAUACCUGGCUGAGACUGGAAUAUGGGUCAGCAG